GUCAAGCUCUUUAUCAGGAAACUAGCCAUCACAGCCGAGGGCAUGGGUUAUGCAUCACCACCAGCCUCCCUGUUACUCUUAACCCUUACCUGUGGAGGGAAGUCGUGGAGUCUCACCACUGUUCCAAGGACUACAUAUUUACCAGAUGGAGGACUUUGGAAGAUGGCUCUUAGGAGGUCUGUUGGGUCUACUGAAGGUUAUCGUCUCUUGAUUUUACACAGAAUCACAUAA
Molecule: long non-coding RNA, 231 nt
Filed under: Struthio camelus australis
Lineage: Eukaryota; Metazoa; Chordata; Aves; Struthioniformes; Struthionidae
Description: lncRNA (ENSSCUG00000017688.1)
Source: RNAcentral